CCUAAAUUUUAGCUCACCAUUUGAAGGAAAUGAAUGCUAGCAUAAAAAAAAACACACUUGUUAGCUAGGACACUCAUAUGCUAAUGUAGCACUGUAAAAAUGACUAAAAAAUACCGCUCUACCUUCUCAGUUCUAUCUUUAUAAAGGCAGAAAUCUUGGAUAAAUUCUUGGCUAAAACUUGUGUUGGCUGGUGAAAGCUGUGGGCUGCUGCGGCGUAUAAUCAGGCCCGUUGAGGCCCGUGGACUUGCUUGUAGCAGGUAGCGGCUCAGUGAAGCCUCAUGGAGCUCGCUCGGCCCGCUGGAUGCUGCAAGUGGCAUCCAUCAGCGAGGAGCCUCUCUGACGCACGACCCCGUGACCUCGUCUCACCAUCGCACGUCACUUUGAAGGAAGACAACCGCUGAGGUGUUUGGUGUGUAGUGCAGUGCAGGGAGUUGAGGAUUUGGAAAUUGAUGGAGCGGGAGUGCAGACCCUGCACUGAAAGGCCAUCAAUCAAACCACCGUCACCACCAUCACCCCCUUCCCCACCCACCACCACCACCUCUCUGGACGCCUGCAGCUACUUUCACAUGCAACUGACGACAAUAAAGAGGUAAAAAGUUUACACAACUCUUCACUCAUCAUAUCAAAACUUAAAGCAGGCAAAUGCAACAAAACGAAAAGCACACAGAAGUACUAUGAAGUUCACCAUGACCCCCGA
Molecule: long non-coding RNA, 697 nt
Organism: Doryrhamphus excisus (bluestripe pipefish)
Lineage: Eukaryota; Metazoa; Chordata; Actinopteri; Syngnathiformes; Syngnathidae
Source: RefSeq, a predicted model, not a curated record